AAACCCCGGAGAGCGGAGCGUGCACGUUGAGAUUCCUCGGCGGGCUAGGCAGCGGUGCUGGGCAUGCUCAGUGGGCAGGACCCGUUAGAGUGGCGAGACCGCAGCUGAAUGCACAGCUAGAAGGUUGGCUUUCACAAGUACAGUCUACAAAAAGACCUGCUAGAGCCAUUAUUGCCCCCCAUGCAGGAUAUACGUACUGUGGGUCUUGUGCCGCCCAUGCUUAUAAACAAGUGGAUCCGUCUAUUACCCGGAGAAUUUUCAUCCUUGGGCCUUCUCAUCAUGUGCCCCUCUCUCGAUGUGCACUUUCCAGUGUGGAUAUAUAUAGGACACCUCUGUAUGACCUUCGUAUUGACCAAAAGAUUUACGGAGAACUAUGGAAGACAGGAAUGUUUGAACGCAUGUCUCUGCAGACAGAUGAAGAUGAACACAGUAUUGAAAUGCAUUUGCCUUAUACAGCUAAAGCCAUGGAAAGGGUAUGAGUAUUAUAGAACAAUUAGACCCUGUAUCUUUUAGCAAUUACUUGAAGAAAUACCAUAAUACUAUAUGUGGAAGACAUCCCAUUGGGGUGUUAUUAAAUGCUAUCACAGAGCUCCAGAAGAAUGGAAUGAAUAUGAGUUUUUCGUUUUUGAAUUAUGCCCAGUCAAGCCAGUGUAGAAACUGGCAAGACAGUUCAGUGAGUUAUGCAGCUGGAGCACUCACGGUCCACUGAAGCUCUGAAUCCUCAGGGAUGCCACCUGCACAUUCUCAUACUCUGUCCGGGGUCCCAGCCUAGCCUUUACCAAGAUACUGGUCCUGGUUUGGGGGGAUUCUGAAACCUCAAACUAAUAGAACUUUCUUCUCUUUUUUUUCUAGUAGGUGUAGUCCUUCCUUAAUUUCAACUCAUUAAAAAAUGCUUUAUAGUUUAGGGCAGUGGAAGGAAGGCUGGCAUCAAAAUAUUUUGAUCAAAAAAGAUGACAAUGUAAAGGCUCAGUUGUGGCAGACAGUUUUUUGAAAGUAACUUGUAAAGCAUUUACCAUAUCCUAAAUUUGCACUCUUUGCAGACUUGUGCACAUAUAUUCCGCUUUCAGAAUAGUUUUGCAAAUUGUACACAAACAAAAAGGUGGAAGCUUUUUAAUAAAGAAAUUGCAUUUAUAAAUGAUCUGUAUUAGAAUAUAAUAAAUCUCCAGUUAUAGUCAAUUACUACCCAUGUUGUACAACAGAUACCUUCUAUUUUAGUUGCUAAUAAAGGGCUACACAACUC
Molecule: small RNA, 1240 nt
Filed under: Pongo abelii (Sumatran orangutan)
Lineage: Eukaryota; Metazoa; Chordata; Mammalia; Primates; Hominidae
Description: processed transcript
Source: RNAcentral